This 269-nucleotide ribosomal RNA is filed under the name uncultured prokaryote. RNAcentral describes it as "partial 16S ribosomal RNA". It matches the Rfam family "Bacterial small subunit ribosomal RNA", at positions 524 to 792 of the family's 1533-position model. The record is from RNAcentral.
UACGUAGGUGGCAAGCGUUGUCCGGAAUUACUGGGUGUAAAGGGCGCGUAGACGGGCAAAUAAGUCAGAUGUGAAAUACCGGGGCUCAACUCCGGGGCUGCAUUUGAAACUAUCUGUCUUGAGUGCAGGAGAGGAAAGCGGAAUUCCUAGUGUAGCGGUAAAAUGCGUAGAUAUUAGGAGGAACACCAGUUGCGAAGGCGGCUCUCUGGACUGUAACUGACGCUGAGGCACGAAAGCGUGGGGAUCAAACAGGAUUAGAUACCCUGGUA